RNAcentral lists this non-coding RNA (48 nucleotides) under Schistosoma mansoni. Lineage: Eukaryota; Metazoa; Platyhelminthes; Trematoda; Strigeidida; Schistosomatidae. The record is from RNAcentral.
AUCCAGCUGAUGAGUCCCGAAUAGGACGAAACGCGCGUCAAACUGGAU